Molecule: unclassified non-coding RNA, 300 nt
Filed under: Hevea brasiliensis (rubber tree)
Lineage: Eukaryota; Viridiplantae; Streptophyta; Magnoliopsida; Malpighiales; Euphorbiaceae
Source: RNAcentral
UUAGUUUCCCACGAAAAUAUUCCCUAAAAUGCACAAAGACUCAAAUCAGAGUAUGCAUCUGAUUCAGAAAAAUACAAAGCCAAACCAUAUUCAAAAAUCGCCAAAUUCGUCAUCAAACUGCACGCCAUUAACCAACCAAUUCGAUUCCAAGUGGUAAUAUCAAUCUACGGGAGAACAGAUUUCGAGCUACUGAAGCAAAGCUACAAAUCCGAUAAGCUAAAACAACUAAGAUAUUAAUAUACGUUUCGAAUUUAACUUAUCCCGGAACUACACAGAAAAAGGAAUAGGAAAGAGGCAUGG